This 253-nucleotide ribosomal RNA is filed under the name uncultured bacterium. RNAcentral's name for it is "partial 16S ribosomal RNA". It matches the Rfam family "Bacterial small subunit ribosomal RNA", at positions 524 to 776 of the family's 1533-position model. The record is from RNAcentral.
UACGUAGGGUGCAAGCGUUGUCCGGAAUUAUUGGGCGUAAAGAGCUCGUAGGCGGUUCGUCGCGUCGGCUGUGAAAUCCCGAGGCUCAACCUCGGGUCUGCAGUCGAUACGGGCGGACUGGAGUUCGGCAGGGGAGACUGGAAUUCCUGGUGUAGCGGUGAAAUGCGCAGAUAUCAGGAGGAACACCGGUGGCGAAGGCGGGUCUCUGGGCAUUAACUGACGCUGAGGAGCGAAAGCAUGGGGAGCGAACAGG